RNAcentral lists this ribosomal RNA (459 nucleotides) under uncultured Streptococcus sp. RNAcentral describes it as "partial 16S ribosomal RNA". It matches the Rfam family "Bacterial small subunit ribosomal RNA", at positions 341 to 792 of the family's 1533-position model. The record is from RNAcentral. Lineage: Bacteria; Bacillati; Bacillota; Bacilli; Lactobacillales; Streptococcaceae.
ACGGAAGGCAGCAGUAGGGAAUCUUCGGCAAUGGGGGCAACCCUGACCGAGCAACGCCGCGUGAGUGAAGAAGGUUUUCGGAUCGUAAAGCUCUGUUGUAAGAGAAGAACGUGUGUGAGCGUGGUAAGUUCACACAGUGACGGUAACUUACCAGAAAGGGACGGCUAACUACGUGCCAGCAGCCGCGGUAAUACGUAGGUCCCGAGCGUUGGCCGGAUUUAUUGGGCGUAAAGCGAGCGCAGGCGGUUUACUAAGUCUGAAGUUAGAGGCAGGUGCUUAACCAUUGUUCGCUUUGGAAACUGUUAGACUUGAGUGCAGAAGGGGAGAGUGGAAUUCCAGGUGUAGCGGUGAAAUGCGUAGAUAUAUGGAGGAACACCGGUGGCGAAAGCGGCCCUCUGGUCUGUAACUGACGCUGAGGCUCGAAAGCGUGGGGAGCAAACAGGAUUAGAUACCCUGGUA